RNAcentral lists this ribosomal RNA (483 nucleotides) under uncultured bacterium. RNAcentral's name for it is "partial 16S ribosomal RNA". It matches the Rfam family "Bacterial small subunit ribosomal RNA", at positions 28 to 507 of the family's 1533-position model. The record is from RNAcentral.
GAUGAACGCUGGCGGCGUGCCUAACACAUGUAAGUCGAACGAAGCUUGACGGAUGAUUUCUUCGGAAUGAAACCAGAUAUGACUUAGUGGCGGACGGGUGAGUAACACGUGAGCAACCUGCCUUUCAGAGGGGGAUAACGGCUGGAAACGGUCGCUAAUACCGCAUGAUGUGUUCGGAUGGCAUCAUCUGAACAUCAAAGAUUUAUCGCUGAAAGAUGGGCUCGCGUCUGAUUAGAUAGUUGGUGGGGUAACGGCCUACCAAGUCUACGAUCAGUAGCCGGACUGAGAGGUUGAACGGCCACAUUGGGACUGAGAUACGGCCCAGACUCCUACGGGAGGCAGCAGUGGGGAAUAUUGCACAAUGGGGGAAACCCUGAUGCAGCAACGCCGCGUGAAGGAUGACGGUUUUCGGAUUGUAAACCUCUUUUCUUAGUGACGAAGACAGUGACGGUAGCUAAGGAAUAAGCAUCGGCUAACUACGUG